UACGGAGUGUGCAAGCGUUACUCGGAAUCACUGGGCAUAAAGCGCGCGUAGGCGGGCUUUCAAGUCGGUUGUGAAAUCCCUCAGCUCAACUGAGGAACUGCAUCCGAUACUGUUUGUCUUGAGGACGAGAGGGGAGAGUGGAACUUCUGGUGGAGCGGUGAAAUGCGUAGAUAUCGGGAGGAACACCAGUGGCGAAGGCGACUACCUGGCCUGUUCUUGACGCUGAGGCGCGAAAGCUAGGGGAGCAAACGGG
This 253-nucleotide ribosomal RNA is filed under the name uncultured bacterium. RNAcentral describes it as "partial 16S ribosomal RNA". It matches the Rfam family "Bacterial small subunit ribosomal RNA", at positions 524 to 776 of the family's 1533-position model. The record is from RNAcentral.